CUGUCCUUUAUUCUCUGUUCCAGAGAAUAAACUCAUUCCUUGCCUUUAAAACUCUGUCUCAAUUACACUUGCAUUCAUUCAUUAACUCAUUUCCUGUUCAGUAUAUUUUCUUAUCCCUAAAUCUGCCUAAGGGCAGAUAGAAUCCUGACGGCAUUCACCACUGAAUAAGCCCAUAGCACGUAAUAGGUGUUAAAUGGAUUAUUUACUGAUAAAUAAAGGAAAUUAGGCAGAGAAUAAAGGUAUACAAUACAAAAAUAAGCCACUGGGAACGGCUUAUCAUAAUAUGCAUUUACAACCACUAAAGUUGAUAAUAGAACCUUUCUUACAUCACUUCUGUUUCAAGUGGGAACAAAUGCACUUCUGAGCCAGAUAGAUCAUGUACGUAUAUGUAAAAAUGGGAAAACAAAUAACAGCAGGCAGGCAGAAACUUGAAGCUUAAAGCUAACUAGGUUGAUUGCCUGCUUAAGUAUAUCAGCAUAUUCUAAAAGAAAGUCAACAGAUGCCAACACCAAGAUGACAGAUGUUGCAGUUAUCUGACAAAGCCUUUAAAGCCAUAAUUAUGCAGAUGUUCCAACAAGCAACCACAAACACUCUUGAAACAAAUGGAAAAACAGAAAAUUACUGCAGAGAUAUGGAGGAUAUAAAGCAGAACCAAGUAAAAGUUAGAACUAAAAACUAUAAUAACUAAAAUUAAAAUAUUGCUGGAAGUUCUCAAUAUAGCAGACUGGAGAAGACAGAGGAAAGAAAAAAAUGAAUUUACAAUGGAGCAAUAGAUUUAUCUAAUCUGAAUAACAGAAAGAAAAAGAUUGAAAAAUAAAUGAACACACCAACAAGGACCAGAAGUUCCGACAUUCAUGAUGUCAUCAGCAUCCUAGCUGUGCACAGCUGAAAAAAUGUUGAAGAAAAAGGGCUACAUUCAUAAACCCAUGGAAUAAAAAAUUUCAUUGAGCACCAAAGAUAAUAAACCUAAAGAAAUCCACACCCAAACUCAUCAUAAUCAAACUGGUAAAAACUAAAGACAAAGGAAAAAAUACUUGAAAGCACCUAAAAAUAAAAACCCAAACCCACAACUUAUUACCUAUAUAAUACCUGAACAAUGAUUCAAUGAACAAUGACUCAACUGACUUCUCACCAGAAACCACAGAGGCCAGAAGGAAGUGGCACAGUAUUUUACAGUGCUAAAAGAAAAAUUCAACCCCAAAUUCCAUUUCCUGAAAAAAUAUUGAUUGGAAAUGGAGAUAAAGACAUUUUUAGAUGACAGAAAACUAAAAGAAGUUGUCACCAACAGACCUAUUCUAAAAGACUUGCUAAAGGGAAUUCUUCAGACCAAAGGGAGAUAAUGCCAGAAGAAACUCUGGAACAUCAGGAGUGAAGGAAAUGAUGAUCUCUUGAAGUCAGAGGGUUAAGCAAGGAGGCCAAGCCAAGCACGAGUCAGGCGGUUAUCAAGCGGCAGACAACGGGUAGAGCCCAGGUCUUCGAGUCCAUUGCUCUGAGCCUGUGCACCAGACAGCUCGGCUCCUCUCUGUUGACAGAAGACCCGCAUGGCAGGCUCAGCAAACAACACUUGGUCUCACAGUGAGCUGGACACACAAAACCCCUUCUCUUUCUGUUGAUGCCCUUUUCUAGGCCCCACGCUCUUGGCUUCGUAGGCGGAUUUGGCCUCUCCCACUAACCAGCCGUGUGGUUUGGGGCAAGUUGCUUCACCUCUGGGUCUCAGCUACUCCGUAGUUAAACCUUGCAAGUUUGACAUGAGGAAAGCACUUCACACGGAGCCUGGCCCAAACAAUAGAUGUUCCCUAUUGUAUUGUCUACAGGCAGUGCAAUACAAUACAGGGUCAGCUGUCUCAGGUCACAGCCAUGACCCCUUCACAGGAACCUCGCCGGACACGGGGACCAACAUUCUAGACGAUUAAAUCAGGGUGGCCUCCUUAGCUCUGUCUAUGCUCCCUCAGUCCCACAGCUCCUGCCAGGUGACUCCAGACCGGCGCCUCUGGGCUGAGUCUUCAGCCUGGACCGAGCCAGCCCCGGGGACCUUCUUGUCCUCACAGCGAUGACCCAAUGGCUUCCUUCAGAACUCGGACCUCUCUGCUCCAACUCGGUUCGCA
Rhinolophus ferrumequinum (greater horseshoe bat) is the source of this 2105-nucleotide long non-coding RNA. RefSeq lists it as uncharacterized. Lineage: Eukaryota; Metazoa; Chordata; Mammalia; Chiroptera; Rhinolophidae. The transcript is spliced from 3 exons. The record is from RefSeq and is a predicted model, not a curated record.